UACGUAGGGUGCGAGCGUUACUCGGAAUUACUGGGCGUAAAGCGCGCGUAGGCGGCUUUGCAAGUCGGGUGUGAAAUCCCCAGGCUUAACCUGGGAACUGCAUUCGAGACUGCAUUGCUAGAGUAUGGGAGAGGGAAGUGGAAUUUCCGGUGUAGCGGUGAAAUGCGUAGAUAUCGGAAGGAACAUCAGUGGCGAAAGCGACUUCCUGGACCAAUACUGACGCUCAUGUGCGAAAGCGUGGGGAGCAAACAGG
Molecule: ribosomal RNA, 253 nt
Filed under: uncultured bacterium
Lineage: Bacteria
Description: partial 16S ribosomal RNA
Rfam family: Bacterial small subunit ribosomal RNA
Source: RNAcentral